This 519-nucleotide ribosomal RNA is filed under the name Synchorema zygoneura. Its description in RNAcentral is "partial 16S ribosomal RNA". The record is from RNAcentral. Lineage: Eukaryota; Metazoa; Arthropoda; Insecta; Trichoptera; Hydrobiosidae.
GUCUUUUUGAUUUAUUAAUUUAAAGUCUAAUCUGCUCACUGAAUUUAAAUUUAAAGAGCCGCAGUAUCUUAACUGUGCAAAGGUAGCAUAAUAAUUUGGUUUUUAAUUAAGACCUAGAAUGAAUGAUUGAACGAAAUAUAUACUGUCUCAAUUUUAUUAAAUUAAAAAUUAAUUUUUUAGUUAAAAAGCUAAAAUUAAUUUAAAAGACGAGAAGACCCUAUAGAUUUUUAUAAUAAUAUUUAAUUUAUUAAUUUUAUAUAAAUUAAUUUAUAUUAUAAUUAAUAUUAUUAUUUUAUUGGGGUAAUAAAAAAAUAAUUUAAACUUUUAUUAAAAUUUAACAUUAAUUAAUGAAAAUUUGAUCCUUUAUAUUGAUUAAAAAAUUAAAUUACCUUAGGGAUAACAGCGUAAUUUUAAUUUUAAGUUCUUAUUAAAAUUAAAGAUUGCGACCUCGAUGUUGGAUUAAGAAAAAUUUUAAAAGUAGAAUUUUAAAUUUUAGGUCUGUUCGACCUUUAAAAUCUU